Long non-coding RNA from Lolium perenne, 1304 nucleotides. RefSeq lists it as uncharacterized. NCBI's taxonomy places the organism in Eukaryota, Viridiplantae, Streptophyta, Magnoliopsida, Poales, Poaceae. The record is from RefSeq and is a predicted model, not a curated record.
UCCACCACACACGCACGCGCACGACUCUCUCCGCCUCUUCUCUCAACACGCCCACGAGACUAGUUCGUUCCCCUCUCGCAUUGACUCCCUCCUGGCGAUGUGCCCGCCGCCGCUUCAAUUCCGGCCGCCUCCGGCCCUCUCCACCGCCGGCGUGAUGGGGCUUUGCUCCGCCAUGCUGCUCUCUACCGCCUCCUCCCGGUCGAUUUGAUCCUCAUGGUCUUACUCAGCCGCCCCCAACCAGAGAACCCUAGUUGCUUCCCGGCGCCGCUCCGGCCGAUGUUGGCCGCAUCCGACGCCGCUGCCCGCUGGAGCUGUUCCACCACCAGCUCGCCCUUCUCCUCCACCAGCUCCACCCCACCGCGACGCCCCCUAGCACUCGCAGUCACCCCGUGGCCAACCCUAGCCCGCCACAAUUCGGCUCGCCGCCGGCGUGAUUCCGCGCUGCUGCGCCUCCGGAUGGUUCCUCCUCGGCGACCUUGACUUCCACCUCGAGCCGUAGCUCGACCUUGCUGUGUCGGCCUACUCGAUUCUAUGGUGGUCUGAUGGUGUGGUGUGGUGUUGCUGCUGCCCGCUGACCGUCGCACCAUGGUGCGGUCGGCCGACCUCUGCUUCGACGACCUCGCAGCCUCCCUCGACUACGGCUUCGCCUGCACGCCCACGGCAAAACCUAGCCCGCCGUUGGCUUGGUCGCUGCCGGCAUGGUGCCCGCGCCGUCGCGUCUUCAGCUUCCUCCUCCUCGACGCCGGCGGAAUUGUGCCGCGGCCUCAACCCCGGCAUCGACUACAUUAUCUACUACCCCUACUGCGAUGCAUGCUAGUGUGGCCUAGUUGCUGGAUCUAGAUGAUCCAUGUGUAUGUGGUUGUGCAAAGUGAGUACCUUGCUAGUUUCGUGGACCUGGUUUGCUUGCUGGCUUCACUGAGAGUCUCUCUCUUUCUACUAUUCACUGGUAAGAACAGAAGUAUGCUUGCUCUAGCCAAUGAUACAUAAAUUGAGGCACAGAUUGAAAUAAGCACAGAUACUAUGGUGCCUGAAAUUCUCUAUGAUGAAUCUUGCAUAGCACCUACGUGCAGAUCUGAGAGGAAUCACUUCUCAUGAAAACUGAUGAUUUAUAGUUUGAUCUUAGUCUAUUUUAUUGCUUGCAAAUACUGCCCAUGUGCUAUCUUUUAAGAUUUGAUACUCUCUGUGGUGCCUCUUAAGAGUGUGCACAGGGAUAUUUCUUACUUAGCAAGAUUAGUGUUGUGGGUAGUUUUGUAGGGUGAUUUAUUAGACUUGGAUCAUAACUAUGAUCAGAUGAUGUUAAAAUC